This 848-nucleotide ribosomal RNA is filed under the name uncultured bacterium. RNAcentral's name for it is "bacterial SSU rRNA". It matches the Rfam family "Bacterial small subunit ribosomal RNA", at positions 21 to 902 of the family's 1533-position model. The record is from RNAcentral.
GGCUCAGAAUCAACGCGGGCGGCGCGCCUAACACAUGCAAGUCGAACGAGAAAGGGGAGCAAUCCCUGAGUACAGUGGCGUACGGGUGAGUAACACGUGGGUAAUCUGCCUCUUAGUGGGGAAUAACGCUGGGAAACCGGCGCUAAUACCGCAUAAGCCCGAGAGGGGAAAGCAGCAAUGCGCUGAGAGAGGAGCCCGCGGCCGAUUAGCUGGUUGGUGAGGUAACGGCCCACCAAGGCAAAGAUCGGUAGCCGGCCUGAGAGGGCACACGGCCACACUGGCACUGAAACACGGGCCAGACUCCUACGGGAGGCAGCAGUGGGGAAUCUUGCACAAUGGGGGAAACCCUGAUGCAGCGACGCCGCGUGAGCGAUGAAGCCCUUCGGGGUGUAAAGCUCUUUCGGCAGGGAAGAUGAUGACGGUACCUGCAGAAGCAGCUGCGGCUAACUACGUGCCAGCAGCCGCGGUAAUACGUAGGCAGCAAGCGUUGUUCGGAGUUACUGGGCGUAAAGGGUGUGUAGGCGGUUCUUUAAGUUUGGUGUGAAAUCUCCCGGCUCAACCGGGAGGGUGCGCCGAAUACUGAGGAGCUAGAGUGCGGGAGAGGAGAGUGGAAUUCCUGGUGUAGCGGUGAAGUGCGUAGAUAUCAGGAGGAACACCGGUGGUGUAAACGGCUCUCUGGACCGUAACUGACGCUGAGACACGAAAGCGUGGGUAGCAAACAGGAUUAGAUACCCUGGUAGUCCACGCCCUAAACGAUGCAUAUUUGGUGUGGGUCAUUCAGUUGAUCCGUGCCGGAGCUAACGCGUUAAAUAUGCCGCCUGGGGAGUACAGUCUCAAGGCUGAUACUC